This 498-nucleotide ribosomal RNA is filed under the name uncultured bacterium. RNAcentral describes it as "partial 16S ribosomal RNA". It matches the Rfam family "Bacterial small subunit ribosomal RNA", at positions 27 to 507 of the family's 1533-position model. The record is from RNAcentral.
GGAUGAACGCUGGCGGCGUGCCUAAUGCAUGCAAGUCGAGCGAACAGAUGAGGAGCUUGCUCCUCUGACGUUAGCGGCGGACGGGUGAGUAACACGUGGAUAACCUACCUAUAAGACUGGGAUAACUUCGGGAAACCGGAGCUAAUACCGGAUAAUAUAUUGAACCGCAUGGUUCAAUAGUGAAAGACGGUUUUGCUGUCACUUAUAGAUGGAUCCGCGCCGCAUUAGCUAGUUGGUAAGGUAACGGCUUACCAAGGCAACGAUGCGUAGCCGACCUGAGAGGGUGAUCGGCCACACUGGAACUGAGACACGGUCCAGACUCCUACGGGAGGCAGCAGUAGGGAAUCUUCCGCAAUGGGCGAAAGCCUGACGGAGCAACGCCGCGUGAGUGAUGAAGGUCUUCGGAUCGUAAAACUCUGUUAUUAGGGAAGAACAAAUGUGUAAGUAACUAUGCACGUCUUGACGGUACCUAAUCAGAAAGCCACGGCUAACUACGUG